CAGCCGCCGCGGUGAUACGUAGGGGGCGAGCGUUGUCCGGAAUUAUUGGGCGUAAAGCGCGCGCAGGCGGUCCUUUAAGUCUGAUGUGAAAGCCCACGGCUCAACCGUGGAGGGUCAUUGGAAACUGGGGGACUUGAGUGCAGGAGAGGAGAGCGGAAUUCCACGUGUAGCGGUGAAAUGCGUAGAGAUGUGGAGGAACACCAGUGGCGAAGGCGGCUCUCUGGCCUGUAACUGACGCUGAGGCGCGAAAGCGUGGGGAGCAAACAGGAUUAGAUACCCUGGUAGUCCACGCCGUAAACGAUGAGUGCUAAGUGUUAGAGGGGUCACACCCUUUAGUGCUGUAGCUAACGCGAUAAGCACUCCGCCUGGGGAGUACGGCCGCAAGGCUGAAACUUAAAGGAAUUGGCGGG
This 410-nucleotide ribosomal RNA is filed under the name uncultured microorganism. Its description in RNAcentral is "bacterial SSU rRNA". It matches the Rfam family "Bacterial small subunit ribosomal RNA", at positions 509 to 917 of the family's 1533-position model. The record is from RNAcentral.